GGGGGUGUAACUCAUUGGUAGAGUGUCUGCUUCGCACGCAGAAAGUCCUGGGUUCAAAUCCCAGCUCCUCCA
RNAcentral lists this transfer RNA (72 nucleotides) under Schistocerca americana (American grasshopper). RNAcentral's name for it is "tRNA-Ala". It matches the Rfam family "tRNA". From Rfam's summary of the family: Transfer RNA (tRNA) molecules are approximately 80 nucleotides in length. Their secondary structure includes four short double-helical elements and three loops (D, anti-codon, and T loops). The record is from RNAcentral. RNAcentral also lists the same sequence under 1 other name. Lineage: Eukaryota; Metazoa; Arthropoda; Insecta; Orthoptera; Acrididae.